CAAUAGCGUAUAUUUAAGUUGUUGCAGUUAAAAAGCUCGUAGUUGGAUUUCGGUUAAGAGCGACCGGUCCGCCGUUUGGUGUGCACUGGUUGGUUUUAACUUCCUGUAGAGGACGUGCUCUGGGUUUAACGACCUGGACUCGGAGUCUACGUGGUUACUUUGAAAAAAUUAGAGUGUUCAAAGCGGGCUUACGCUUGAAUAUUUCAGCAUGGAAUAACACUAUAGGACUCCUGUCCUAUUUCGUUGGUCUCGGGACGGGAGUAAUGAUUAAGAGGAACAGUUGGGGGCAUUCGUAUUUCAUUGUCAGAGGUGAAAUUCUUGGAUUUAUGAAAGACGAACUUCUGCGAAAGCAUUUGCCAAGGAUGUCUNCAUUAA
This 375-nucleotide ribosomal RNA is filed under the name uncultured eukaryote. RNAcentral's name for it is "partial 18S ribosomal RNA". It matches the Rfam family "Eukaryotic small subunit ribosomal RNA", at positions 592 to 976 of the family's 1831-position model. The record is from RNAcentral.